AGCUAAUAGAUACCCAGGUAGUCCACGCCCUAAACGAUGUCUACUAGUUGUUGGUGGAGUAAAAUCCAUGAGUAAACGCAGCUAACGCGUGAAGUAGACCGCCUGGGGAGUACGGUCGCAAGAUUAAAAACUCAAAGGAAUUGACGGGGGGCCCGCACAAGCGGUGGAUUAUGUGGAUUAAUUCGAUGCAACGCGAAAAACCUUACCUGGCCUUGACAUGCCACUAACGAAGCAGAGAUGCAUUAGGUGCCCGUAAGGGAAAGUGGACACAGGUGCUGCAUGGCUGUCGUCAGCUCGUGUCGUGAGAUGUUAGGUUAAGUCCCGCAACGAGCGCAACCCUUGCCAUUAAUUGCCAUCAUUUAGUUGGGCACUUUAAUGGGACUGCCGGUGACAAACCGGAGGAAGGUGGGGAUGACGUCAAGUCCUCAUGGCCCUUAUGGCCAGGGCUUCACACGUAAUACAAUGGUCGGUACAGAGAGUUGCCAACCCGCGAGGGGGAGCUAAUCUCAGAAAGCCGAUCGUAGUCCGGAUUGUUCU
RNAcentral lists this ribosomal RNA (537 nucleotides) under uncultured bacterium. Its description in RNAcentral is "bacterial SSU rRNA". It matches the Rfam family "Bacterial small subunit ribosomal RNA", at positions 767 to 1304 of the family's 1533-position model. The record is from RNAcentral.